CACGCAGGCGGUUGGAUAAGUUAGAUGUGAAAGCCCCGGGCUCAACCUGGGAAUUGCAUUUAAAACUGUCCAGCUAGAGUCUUGUAGAGGGGGGUAGAAUUCCAGGUGUAGCGGUGAAAUGCGUAGAGAUCUGGAGGAAUACCGGUGGCGAAGGCGGCCCCCUGGACAAAGACUGACGCUCAGGUGCGAAAGCGUGGGGAGCAAACA
This 207-nucleotide ribosomal RNA is filed under the name uncultured bacterium. RNAcentral describes it as "partial 16S ribosomal RNA". It matches the Rfam family "Bacterial small subunit ribosomal RNA", at positions 568 to 774 of the family's 1533-position model. The record is from RNAcentral.